This is a long non-coding RNA of Peromyscus eremicus (cactus mouse), 388 nucleotides long. RefSeq lists it as uncharacterized. NCBI's taxonomy places the organism in Eukaryota, Metazoa, Chordata, Mammalia, Rodentia, Cricetidae. The record is from RefSeq and is a predicted model, not a curated record. The transcript has 3 exons.
GCAAGAGCAAAUUUUAACAACUACUAUUAGAAAACAUGGCAUUGCUUAUUGGAUUGACAGAUCUUUUCAUAGAGUUGUCAAGUCUGUGACUGUAGCACUUGGUGGCUGAGCUUUUUUAAGCUACAGCUGUUUGGUGCCUGAUUCUUCAAUCAUUUUUAUCUGAUGAAGUUUAUUGGUGGUGACAUGCAUGUAGUGGAGGGGCUGAAAUAACAUGGUCAAGAUAUCUGAAAUAAGUUUCUUCAGUUCGAUCUAGUUUUGAAUGCAGUCAACUUGUGAUUCCUGACAGUUACUGAGUCCCAGAACUCCACAAAGUCUUAGCAUUUUCACUUAACAGGAGAGAAAUAAAAACAUGCUCCUCAAAAAAGAAAAAAGAAAAAAAAAAAGAAAA